GAUUCCGUGGUGUAGUUGGUUUAUCACAACACUCUAACACAGUGCAGGUCUCCGGUUCGAUCUCGAACAGAAAGC
Non-coding RNA from Blyttiomyces helicus, 75 nucleotides. NCBI's taxonomy places the organism in Eukaryota, Fungi, Chytridiomycota, Chytridiomycetes. The record is from the annotation of a GenBank genome assembly.